RNAcentral lists this ribosomal RNA (253 nucleotides) under uncultured bacterium. Its description in RNAcentral is "partial 16S ribosomal RNA". It matches the Rfam family "Bacterial small subunit ribosomal RNA", at positions 524 to 776 of the family's 1533-position model. The record is from RNAcentral.
UACGGGGGAGCAAGCGUUGUUCGGGUUUACUGGGCGUAAAGGGCGCGUAGGCGGCCUCCGCAAGUCAGUUGUGAAAUCUCCGAGCUUAACUCGGAAAGGUCAACUGAUACUGCGGGGCUAGAGUGCGGAAGGGGCAACUGGAAUUCUUGGUGUAGCGGUGAAAUGCGUAGAUAUCUGGAGGAAUACCGGUGGCGAAGGCGGCAUCCUGAACCGACAUUGACGCUGAGGAGCGAAAGCUAGGGGAGCAAACGGG